Fukomys damarensis (Damara mole-rat) is the source of this 1667-nucleotide long non-coding RNA. RefSeq lists it as uncharacterized. The record is from RefSeq and is a predicted model, not a curated record. NCBI's taxonomy places the organism in Eukaryota, Metazoa, Chordata, Mammalia, Rodentia, Bathyergidae. The transcript is spliced from 4 exons.
UAAGGCAGCCUCUGCUCCUGGUCGCUGAUUAUUCUCUUGGGAGCUGUGGCGAACCGAGCCUCUGAAGAGUCCCUGAGGAACUCCCCGCGCCGUUUGCGGUGCGACGGGCACUGACAGAGUCAGCAAAGGGAAGGGUCCUGCCUGCUCUUUCGUCCGCGAGACUCGUGUCCCCAGCCCUCGAGGAUCUCCAACAGACCCAAGUCUGGGCAGGCUGAGCUGGAGGAAACUUGGCCUCCGGCCACCCUGAGGAGACUGAGAAACUUUUGGUCAACAGGGUGCCUUUCCUUUACUUGGAACUGAGAACCAAAACAAAAGUUUCCGAGGCCGGAAAGGAAACGCGCAGCGUGUCGUCUGCGAGUCCUGGAACUGUGGACACCGAGCCAGCGGGGACGGGCCCAGGACUGGACCCGCCCGGGCGGCGGCAGCCCCGCGCCUUCCAGGAUGUGUACGCGGAGCCUGCGGUUCUCUUAGUAACUUGUACCUUGUGGAAAGAGACGACUGCCAGCACGCCUCGGCCUACUAGAAGCCCUAAAUGCCCUUCCGUGCUUGCUUUCUUGUGGAGGUCUCAGAUUCGCAGAUUCGUUGUAGUCGGGUCAGCUAUGUCCUAAACCUACCGUUCUUGAAACAAAACCCCGCAGUUAGGAUGGUGAUUAAGGUGACUAAAUUCCAGAAGAGAUGGUAUAAUAUAAGAAGAAUGUGGAUGAUAUUAGUCACCUUCUGACCUUUUGAGUGAAGUCUCCAGGGAUGCACAGAUACUCUGGCAGAGGAUACCUAAGGCCCUAAAAAAUUGCCCAAUACUCAGCAGUUCACCGAGAGUGUCCUCCUUUAGCAGUGAUGUGAGGGCGCCAUUGAUAAUGGAGUUGAAAGAACUUCUGACAAAGUCUUUCUGGGACCAGCUAGCAUCCUAGGAAUGAAUACUUACAAGAACUGGAAGAACAGAGCAUUAAGAAUUGUACCACAAAAGCCCAAGCAAGAAGCAGUAUGCUAAGAACGAAGGGAGUAUAUGUGGCAGAACCAAGACUGGAGGAAGUGUACAGUACGGUCAUCCUUGAAGACCUGCUGAAGCUGGGCAAGAAUCUGAACGACCAGUUACUAUGAUCUGGAGAUGGUUUGCUCCCCAGAGAAAUGAGAUCCAUGUCUCCUCCCCUUGGCACUGGGCAGGAAUGUGAUUACAGUACAAAUAAUGCUACGUGACUUUUGAGGCCAGGUCAUAACUAGCAGAGCAGCAUCCACGCGGUUCUCUUAGGACACCUGACCUUGAAACCCAAGCACCAUCCUGUGAAGAAGAGGGCAGGCCAUGAAGAAGUCCACAACACCAGAAACUGAAGCUCACAGCCCAUCCUUAGCUGCCAUCCCAGCCUACAGGUGUCGCCAGUUAUGAAUGUGUCAUCUGGACAGCAGGUCCUACAGGCUUCAGGCAAGUGACUCUAGCCAAUGAAAUGUAGGGCACAAAUGUGCUUUCCUUCUAAGCCCUCUACCCUAAGAGCCGAUCCAUGAGCAAAAUAAAGGAUAUUAUUGGAUAUCACCUGUUUGUCUCCAUAAAAAUCAAAGCUUCAGUCUCAUAGGGGAACUUUUCCUGAAGACUCUGGUAGUCAUUAAAUUUUUGCCACAACUUUCACCAAAUUGUUAAGCUGCUCCAAGGGGACAAAAAUAUAAAUAAAUGUGUU